UACAGAGGGUGCAAGCGUUAAUCGGAAUUACUGGGCGUAAAGCGCGUGUAGGCGGUCCGGUAAGUCCGCUGUGAAAGUCGGGGGCUCAACCCUCGAAUGCCGGUGGAUACUGUCGGGCUAGAGUGCGGAAGAGGCGAGUGGAAUUCCUGGUGUAGCGGUGAAAUGCGCAGAUAUCAGGAGGAACACCAAUAGCGAAGGCAGCUCGCUGGGACGUUACUGACACUAAGGCGCGAAAGCGUGGGGAGCGAACAGG
This 253-nucleotide ribosomal RNA is filed under the name uncultured bacterium. RNAcentral's name for it is "partial 16S ribosomal RNA". It matches the Rfam family "Bacterial small subunit ribosomal RNA", at positions 524 to 776 of the family's 1533-position model. The record is from RNAcentral.